AAACUUCACAACCUUCCAGCAAUGGAAGACACCGCAUUUGCCACAAAAUUUUCGGACAAGAUUAGAAGUCUUGCAUCUUCUCAGUACCCUUGUAAUGUGCCUAAAACAAUUGACAAACGAGUGAUAACAACUAUAAGUCUUAACCUUCAAGACUGUCCAGAAAACAAAACCUGCUCGGGUUUCAAGGGCAAGAGUUUCUUUGCUUCAAUGAACAACCAAUCAUUCGUUCGCCCUUCCAUCUCAAUAUUGGAAAGCUAUUACAAGAACCUCACCAAAGGUAGUUUCUCCUCUGGUUUCCCAGAAAAACCACCAAAUAAUUUUGAUUAUACUGGUGGGGAUUCAUUUACUCAAAACAUAUAAUUUUGAUUCGGCACGAAACUUUUAGUACUGCCUUAUGGCACAAACAUAGAAAUUGUGUUGCAAGACACAAGUUUUCUUAAUUUGGAGAACCAUCCAAUUCAUGUCCAUGGUCACAACUUCUUCAUUGUUGGGAGUGGAUUUGGAAACUUUAACGAAGCCAGGGAUCCGAAAAGAUACAAUCUUGUCGAUCCUCCAGAAAGGAAUACAGUGGCAGUUCCAAGUGGGGGAUGGGCUGCUAUUAGGAUCAAGGCAGAUAAUCCAGGGGUUUGGUUCAUACAUUGUCACCUUGAGGAACAUACUUCAUGGGGUCUAGCAACUGGCUUUAUUGUCCACAAUGGUCAGGGACCAUCUCAAAGCUUGCUUCCCCCCCCCCCCUCAUGAUCUCCCCUCCUGCUAAUUAAUCGUCUUCUUAAGCUACUAGUCAAUGCCUCGCUGCAUUUAAUAUGCUUAAUUACUUUUACAUGUUAUUAUUGAAUUUUAUGUGUGUUGCAAAAUAUCUGAAGUGAUAUGGUUUGCGUGUGGCAACCCUCAAGAAAUAAAGUCCCCAUGAAUUUUUUUUUUUGUGUGAUAAUGUUGGAAUUAAUACCCUCCAAUGAGGUUCAGGAUGAUGAGUUGCCAGAGGUGUAAUGAUAUUCCAGUCAACUAAUAAUGUAAAUGCAAAUAGUUUUCGUAGUUUAUUUUUUAUAUAAAAAAAACACCACUCAAUUAUUCAUCUGACUAACAUAUUACAUUCACGGCAUGUCUCAAAAUCGACUGUGAGCGGCAUUUUCUUAAAAGUCACGAUAACAGUCCAUAAUUGUUAGCUACCUUGAGUGAUGAUUAUAGCAUACUGAUAUUGGAUCUCUAUCGGUGUGUAAUGGCGGUAGCUACCUUGAGUGAUUACGACAUAAACUAUUACAACACUUCUAAACACCCUUUAAAACACCAGUCACCUUCUAAAUCGCCAUCAACUCAAUAUUCUCUUCUCCUUUCUAGCCGCCAACUUACUUCAACACCAAUCUUGUAGGAAACUACAACGAAUUUGUGCCGCCUUGACAAACCAAGAAUACUGGACUAGUCCACUCCGGGCUUGAUUCGAACUCACAUCAACCCACCCUAACUUCAGAUCUUUAUUAAGAAUCCAAUUGGUGUGCUAAGGGACAAGGGAGUAAGAAUGAAAUUUCGUAGAAAAUAAUAGUAAUAAUGAUGGGUUUGAUGCUGAUGGUGAGUUUCCAUAGAAAGAAUAAUUUUAUGGAACAUAUUUUUUUUUGAGGAAAUUAUUGUUUCGUAAUUAUACAUUAGUAAGCAAGCACGGUUGGCUGGACUUGCACAAUUUGUCUGAACUUGGAACUCCGAAGCACUUCUUAUCAUUAUUAUCCUGUGUCAAUGGAGCAAUUAAUUAAGGCUUAAUGGUUAUGGCACUAUCCGAUGGUGUGCAGUCGUGUUUUUUAAAGAAGUUGAUUUUUUUUUAUUUAAAAUUAAUUUUUUAUAUGUUUUUAUAAUUGAUGUAUUAAUUCUAAAAAGAUUUUUUUAUGAAAUAAAAUAAAAUAUUAUUUUAAUAAAUUUUUAAAUAAAAAAAUAUUUUAAAUCAUAAUUACUAUCACAAUUCCAAACACAACACACUAUAUAUAUAUAUAUAUAUAUAUAUAUAUAUAUAUAUAUAUAUAUAUAUAUAUAUAUAUAUAUAACACCAAAGAAUUUUCAAUGUCUAAAAAUUUUCAAUGUCUAAAAAUUAGAGGAGGCCACUCCUACACCUACAAGUUCACUGUUACUGGCCAAAGAGGGACACUACUAUGGCAUGCUCACUAUGCUUGGCAAAGAGCAUCUGUUUACGGUGCUUUCAUCAUCUACCCUCGCAUCCCAUAUCCAUUCUCACACCCAAUUCAAGCUGAAAUCCCCAUCAUUUUUGGUAAUGAUUAAAUGUUUACUCUUUUCAAAAAAGAUAGAGAGACACAGACGAGUGUCUAAUAUUGUUAGUUAAUUCUUGACUUGUUUUAUGUGUAAUAAAAUGCAGGAGAAUGGUGGAAUGGGGAUCCAGAUGAAGUUGAAAAAACAAUGCUGUUAACAGGAGGAGGGCCAGACAGUUCCAAUGCCUACACCAUAAAUGGAUUACCAGGACCUCUCUAUCCUUGCUCUAACCAAGGUAAUUGUAAGACCACUGUCUCUCUUUACAUUUCUUAGCACUACAAAAAAUGAAGAUGACCUGAAAUGGUUAAUUUGCUAAUUUUAUUUUGCAGAUACUUUUAUUCAGACGGUGGAAUAUGGCAAGACCUAUUUGCUUAGGAUCAUCAAUGCAGCUCUAACAAAUGAGCUCUUCUUUGCGAUAGCGAAACAUACGUUGACAGUGGUGGAGGUUGUUGCAGUCUACACUAAACCCUUCGCAACCACUUCCAUUAUGAUUUCUCCUGGACAAACCACUACUGUUUUAAUGACUGCAAACAAAGUUCCAGACUUCACAGGCAUGUUUGUCAUGGCAGCAAGGCCUUAUCUUACCUCUGUGUUCCCCUCCAACAACUCCACCACAAUCGGCUUCUUGAGGUACAAAAAUGCAAGGACCUGGAAAGGAAAAUCCCCAGUUGAUCCGAGCAGCCUUAAACUUCACAACCUUCCAGCAAUGGAAGACACCGCAUUUGCCACAAAAUUUUCGGACAAGAUUAAAAGUCUUGCAUCUCCUCAGUACCCUUGUAAUGUGCCUAAAACAAUUGACAAACGAGUGAUAACAACUAUAAGUCUUAACCUUCAAGACUGUCCAGAAAACAAAACCUGCUCGGGUUUCAAGGGCAAGAGUUUCUUUGCUUCAAUGAACAACCAAUCAUUCGUUCGCCCUUCCAUCUCAAUAUUGGAAAGCUAUUACAAGAACCUCACCAAAGGUAGUUUCUCCUCUGGUUUCCCAGAAAAACCACCAAAUAAUUUUGAUUAUACUGGUGGGGAUUCAUUUACUCAAAACAUGA
RNAcentral lists this long non-coding RNA (3290 nucleotides) under Populus trichocarpa (black cottonwood). RNAcentral's name for it is "long non-coding RNA (PTRI_LNC003426)". Lineage: Eukaryota; Viridiplantae; Streptophyta; Magnoliopsida; Malpighiales; Salicaceae. The record is from RNAcentral.